GGAAGUAAAAGUCGUAACAAGGUCAUCGUAGGUGAACCUGCGGUGGGAUCAUUAAAUAAUCUCAACCUUUGGGGCUAUUUUGCUGUGGGUGUGGUUGUUUCUUUAGUGCUUUGGGAAUGUGUGCUUUCUGUUAUGGAUGGCGUGCUUCUUGGAGGACGAGAGAUGGCUAUUGCUUGCAGCAGAGCUCUGCUUGUGUGAAUCUUGUAUGUUGCCUGGAGAAGAUAUGUCAUGUAUCUAAUCCGGCAAUGUGAGAAUAGUUUUGGCGGGUGUAGUGUAAGAGUGCAUACCCUGCACUCUGACAUAGCUCCGCCAGCUGUUCUCUAACAUAAACACUAUCAAACAACCAAUAACCAUAUAUCACGAGGACUAAACACCCUCAUCAAUUAAUUUACAACUAUCCGUGGUGGAUCACUUGGCUCUUGCAUCGAUGAAGAACGUAGCGAAUUGCGAAAAUUACUGCGAAUUGCUUUAGCGUGAAUCAUUGAGUCUUUGAACGCACAUUGCACUCUGUACUUUUGUGCAGAGUAUGCCUGUUUGAGCAUCAGAUUGACACCACUCACCGCUGUUUAUUUAUUAGCUUGAAAGAGCUUUUGGGUAGAUUGUGGCUGAGGACCAUGAGCGCCUUCCAACCUUUAUUAGUAAAUGUUGGUCGCUUCAAAUAAAAGAGGACGUAUUUCAGUGGCCGACUAGAUUCGGAGCACUGUGAGCGAGAGGCAGCAUGCACAUUGAAUUUUGCAUUCUGUUGUCCAGACCGUGAAGCGUGGUUGGCCAGAGACUAGUAGCAGAUAUUUAUAUCAGUGAACGUUUUGAUUAUCCAUCGGCAAGCAAUUAACUUUGUUUUGCCAUCACACACAUGGUCGCUACGAGACAGCAGAAUACACGCAACUUGAAAUGUAAAGGCUGAAUCGUUUGAGCUUGCAGUCGCAACUUAUCACAUAACUGCGCCCUAUUGCCUCUAUCCAUGUUUGCAAUCUAUAAUAAUCAUCAAAAUGAUCUCAAAUCAGGUAGGACUACCCGCUGAACUUAAGCAUAUCAAUAAGCGGAGGA
Molecule: ribosomal RNA, 1047 nt
Filed under: Coemansia pectinata
Lineage: Eukaryota; Fungi; Kickxellomycota; Kickxellomycetes; Kickxellales; Kickxellaceae
Description: eukaryotic LSU rRNA
Rfam family: 5.8S ribosomal RNA (bases 393-544)
Source: RNAcentral